RNAcentral lists this long non-coding RNA (332 nucleotides) under Prunus persica (peach). RNAcentral describes it as "long non-coding RNA (PPER_LNC005974)". Lineage: Eukaryota; Viridiplantae; Streptophyta; Magnoliopsida; Rosales; Rosaceae. The record is from RNAcentral.
GCAAAGCAAUCAUAAUAAUAUAUAUUGAUUAAAAAAAAGACUAUCAGAUGAUGGGUAGACUACUCGAUUAAUAUUUUCCAUUUUCUCCCUACUCUCUGCUAACUUAUAUUCUCCUUUUGUUUUCAAUUCAUCCUGCAGUUUUUUAUUUUUUAUUUUUUUUGUGUUCUUUGCCAAUGAACUAACUUAUUCUCCUUCACCAUUGACCACUCCACCUAAGGCUAAGGCUGCACCUUCCACUGCGCCGGACGCCGCCUCUCUGCCUUCUCCUCCCUCGCCUUUCACUGUCACCUCACUAGAGAUUUCUCCCUCUUCAGAGUCUGCUUCCACCUUUG